CGGGGGGUUGUCGGGAUUAUUGGGCGUAGGCGCGCGCAGGCGGUUCCUUAAGUCUGAUGUGAAAGCCCACGGCUCAACCGUGGAGGGUCAUUGGAAACUGGGGAACUUGAGGACAGAAGAGGAGAGUGGAAUUCCACGUGUAGCGGUGAAAUGCGUAGAUAUGUGGAGGAACACCAGUGGCGAAGGCGACUCUCUGGUCUGUUUCUGACGCUGAGGUGCGAAAGCGUGGGUAGCAAACAGGAUUAGAUACCCUGGUAGUCCACGCCGUAAACGAUGAGUGCUAGGUGUUAGGGGGCUUCCACCCCUUAGUGCUGAAGUUAACGCAUUAAGCACUCCGCCUGGGGAGUACGGCCGCAAGGCUGAAACUCAAAGGAAUUGACGGGGGCCCGCACAAGCGGUGGAGCAUGUGGUUUAAUUCGAAGCAACGCGAAGAACCUU
RNAcentral lists this ribosomal RNA (438 nucleotides) under Halobacillus trueperi. RNAcentral's name for it is "bacterial SSU rRNA". It matches the Rfam family "Bacterial small subunit ribosomal RNA", at positions 535 to 972 of the family's 1533-position model. Lineage: Bacteria; Bacillati; Bacillota; Bacilli; Caryophanales; Bacillaceae. The record is from RNAcentral.